CAGAGUAGUUUAUUUAAAAAUUUCUAUUUUACACGUAGAAGAACUCCUUUAGGAGCUUUGU
This 61-nucleotide transfer RNA is filed under the name Nippotaenia mogurndae. RNAcentral describes it as "tRNA-Val". Lineage: Eukaryota; Metazoa; Platyhelminthes; Cestoda; Nippotaeniidea; Nippotaeniidae. The record is from RNAcentral.